UGUGAGAGGGAAGCAUGCCCCAGGGGUACCGGGGAGGAUGUGCAGGGCCCGAGUCUGUUGGGAUUCAAGGAAGUCUUGCAGAAGGCGUAGCAGCUGAGCCGAGGCUUGAGGGAUGUAGAGGAGGUGGUCAGGCCGACAAGACUAUGUUUUAGGGUCAUCACACAACUCUGUGUGCGUCUUGGGUGUGAGCUUCCAAGUAACUUUUCCUGAACCCCUCACCCCAUCCAGCCCAGGCCCUGCUGGAACAGCCUCCCGUUGGGAACUAGAACUGAUGACAUUAUAUACGACCACCAUCCGAGCUUCUUGAGACAACCAAUCCCACAGGAAGUCUUAGAAAGCUUUUUUUCCCUCUAAAUGAUCUUUUUUAGUGUCUGUCACCCAGAGUUGUAGAGAUUUUAUAUCAUCUAUGAAAUCCUAUUAAGAUUUUAUUUCCUUAUUUUCCUUUUAUGAUGACUGGGAUUUCCUUCCUGAGAGAAGGCUUCAGGAAGUGGCCGUGCCUUGGCAGGAGCCAGGCCCUGGGGAGGGUGUGUUGCUGAGGCAGCCGCAGCCUCCGUGGCAGAGUUGCUGACAGGCAUUCAGAGCUGGCAGCAUCCUUCGAGGUCCUGUGGCCCAUUUUCCCCCUGAAGGUAUCCUCUCUAGAGCUUUAAGCAUCCCAUGACCCAAGAGAGGCAGUGAUGGAACUUUGGAGUCAGAUCCAUUGAUGGGCAACCUGCUACUUUGAAAAGUAGAGUGUUGAGAUCUGGUUGGAUCCAGAUGCCAUCAUUCCACAGAUGGACCAUCAAGGCCUUGUAGAGUGCAUGUCUCCCCGCUAUAUUUCUCCACAAUCUGCAUAAAGGAAGUGUAAGUUCCUCUGCCC
Long non-coding RNA from Leopardus geoffroyi (Geoffroy's cat), 856 nucleotides. RefSeq lists it as uncharacterized. The record is from RefSeq and is a predicted model, not a curated record. Lineage: Eukaryota; Metazoa; Chordata; Mammalia; Carnivora; Felidae. The transcript is spliced from 3 exons.